RNAcentral lists this unclassified non-coding RNA (338 nucleotides) under uncultured fungus. RNAcentral's name for it is "sequence contains ITS1". The stretch from base 1 to 105 matches the Rfam family "5.8S ribosomal RNA", at positions 50 to 154 of the family's 154-position model. The record is from RNAcentral. Lineage: Eukaryota; Fungi.
CAAAUGCGAUAGAUAGUGCGAACUGCAGAUAUUCUGAGCACUAAAAUGUCGAAUGCACAUUGCGCCUUGGGAUUUACAUCCCUCGGCACGCCUGGUUCAGGGUCGUUUCUCAAAAAGGCAGCAGACUGCGCUGCUUGUACGACCAGGCACGAGCAUGCCCAGCCGUGGGGCCGCUCCGGGCCUGGUCUUGUUGUGGAUGCAUUUGCGUACGGACUCCAGUCCAAGGGCAACUGCUGGUCGUUCGUAAAAACAAAGACUGGCAGAGACUAGCCUAGGACCUGUUCGAAGGCGCUCGAUUUCUCGACCUGAACUCAGACGUGAUGACCCGCUGAACUUAA